UGGGAGAAUGACAAAUCAGAUUUUUUUCCUAAUUUUCAGGUUUUUCCUCUUGAAAAAAUUCAAAUCCAACUAAAAAUGCUAAAAAUUGGGUGGAAAAAUCUGAUUUGUCAUACAAUCCCU
This 120-nucleotide microRNA precursor is filed under the name Gossypium hirsutum (cotton). RNAcentral describes it as "MIR7504 microRNA precursor family". It matches the Rfam family "MIR7504 microRNA precursor family". Lineage: Eukaryota; Viridiplantae; Streptophyta; Magnoliopsida; Malvales; Malvaceae. The record is from Rfam by way of RNAcentral.